UUAGCACUCUUGCUCCUUCGGAUUCAGCAUGCUGCUCCACUCUGACUUCAGCUCGUCGUCUCUCCGCAAUUCUAAUUAUUCACUUCUGAGGUAUUAUUUCAUCCUACUCAAUUUGUAAUUGUUGUUGAUUCCUGUUGUUUUUCGUGAUUCAUUAAUCCAUUGCUCAUCCUUGUUUUGAUUUAGCUUGAAGAAGACAGAUUUUGCUUUUUGUUUGGAAUUUAUAUUCAGUGGAUGGUUGAAUGGCUUCCUACUUUGGUAUCUGAUGUUUGUUGUUUCAGGUUUUUGCAUUUUAAAUUGUGCAAAAAACUUCAUGUUAAAAAUUGAAUCAUUUUGCCAUUCCGUAUAUUAUUUUUCGGUUUUCUCCUUAAUUGAUUUUCUGCCAUUUAACGAUUUAUCAAAGACUAGGAUGCGUAACGUAGUUAACCAAAUACUCAUUAGUGUGGUUGUGAAUAUUGAAAUUGUGAGCAUUGAUGGGUUAAGAUUAUCUGGUAAUAGUAAGAGAUUAUCUUGAACAUACUUAUGUCAGAUAAGCCAUCAUUUAUUCUUUUGUUUUGUGGUUUAAGUUGGCCUUAGAGGUGUUAUAUCGAUUGACUAAGACUCGAAAACCUUUUGAUUUUAUGCAGAUUUAACUAUAAUUAUUGGAGCAGGUUUGGGACUUGGAGAUUUGAUAAUUUAUAAUUGUUUUUUGCUUAUUAAUGUUUCAUAUCCAACUGGCACUAGAAACCCAGUAACACCAUAUCUGAAUAUGCAGAGAAAGUUGCCAAGAAUGUUCUUGGAGAGUUACUUUAUUGCUACUUUAACUUAGUUAUGAAUGAAGAGACAUGUUUCAUAUGGCCCAAUGAAGAUUUUGUGUUCGUAUAUUUAGGCUUCACCUCUUCAGAUACGCUUUCUUAUUAGGGCGUGUUUGGUGUCUUCCUACGGAUUAAGGCAUAUAGAUUAGCAAUGGAUACCUUUUAUCGAUUAAGCUAGAUUAAAAAUUCAUAAUGGUGUUUGAUACCAUUUACUAAAAUGUUUAUAUCUUGUUCGGUACUCAGUACAAAGGCAUAGAUAAAGGAGUUAAAAGACAUAACUCUCCCUCCACUAAACCCAUAAAGACAAGCGUACCCUUUGAUUUUCACCCCACGCUACAUAUUCCCUAUUCCUUCAUAUUUUGCAGCUUUCACUUCUUGCGCCAUAGGAAGGGUCACAGAAGCUGAAACGACACGCCUGGAAGUGGACGAUUUGCGCCGAUCUGCGCCGCGACAAGAAUGAGUUCAGCAACUCAAGGUUAAAAAGCUUUGAACAUCUUUGAUAUUAUUUCCAGAAUCCCUAUGUGUUAUAUGUGUUAGUUCGACUAUUACUCGCUACAUUUGUGUCUGAAUCAUAUGAUAUAUGUUAUGCUCAUGUAAAUGCAAUGCUUCAAAGAUGUGAAGAUCUAUACUUUUUUUGUGUUUCAUUGCAAAGCUUUGUUGUUAGGGGACAGGUGUCGCAUAUGCUUCGACAUAUGCUAGUAGUUUUUUGAGAUGGGACUACUGUUCCAUUGCUUAUUUAAUUUCGACAUAUGCUGGUAGUUUUUUGAGAUGGGACUAUUGUUCCAUUGCUUAUUAAAUUUUUGUGUUGGUGCUACUGUUCCAUUGCUUAUUAUUUUUUGUGUUGCUUUCUAUGGCGUUGAGCAACAGGAAGCAAUGGAUUCGUUCGUGGUGGUCGGUUAAACAAGACCGACAAGACCCGGCGUAGUUGGUCGGCUCGAGAGGAGGAGAUUUUGUUGGCUGCAUUGAAGGAGUUGGUGGCGCAAGGCUGGAAAUCGGAUAAUGGUUUUCGCGCCGGAUAUUUGAAUAAGUUGGAAGAAGCGAUGAAGAAGGAAUACCCAGAAAUUAAUACACUACUUAAUUUGGUGGUGGGUGGAAGUUAGUAUUCAUAUCCAUAAGUAUUCCAACAGAAAUUGUCUGCAAUCACAAGUAACAACACCAAAAAAGGUAUUUGACCGAUUUGAUGCAUUAAUGUCAUUCAAUUUUUUUGGGAAAAAAAAUGUAUGUAUAAAACCGAGACUAAAACAUAUCCAUAAUUAUAAAAAAUCGAAAUACAAAGUGCAACAAAAUCACAAUUCAAACACACAAUAUAUAUAUAUAUAUAUAUAUAGAAGAUCAAUCUAUAAUUAUAAAUAAGACAAUUUUUAUAAUAAUAAUUAUUCAUUUUUUACUCUCGUCUCUUUAUCUUUUUUUUAUAUCUCUCUUCUCUUCUUUUUUUUUUAUAUUGAAUCUUUUUUUUUUGGUCAAGGAAAAUGUCAUGUGAAUGUGUUGUUUUAGCUUGCAACCCCUGCUGCUUUGGUUGGUCAUUUUCUCAAGUCACUUGCAGCAUGAGAGGCCUUACUAAUGAACUACGUGCAGAAACUAUGAUGAUGGAUGCACUGAACAAUGUUGAGAAGGAAUUGAAGAAACCUCUCUUGAGAAACGAUAAAAAAGGGAUGGACCUGCUGAAUAAAUCUCUGUUGGAACAUUAUACCUGCAAACAAGAAUUAAAAAAAGGCAUGCAUUCGUAUAUACCCGCAAAGCUACAAACCAAGAAAAAACAGUAGCACUUGAACAAAUAACCACAAGCACAAUUCAAAUAUCCCAAACACAGAAGCAUUUGAAGAAAGGUAGUCAAAAACAUAGUCGAUUCAACGAUGCCUAAGUUAUGAAGCCAUGAACCAUCCCCUUACAUAAAUUUGCCUAUUACAAUCCCGACUACAAGUGUCACAAUGGAAAAAAACAGGUUUGUGGUAUGGAGCUCGAGAUAUCCACGUGGAGAAUGCAAGCAAACGCCCCGGUGGUCAAUUUCUUGAACCGCAUCAAAGACAUUUGGUGCCAUGGAUUGGGAAUGAGCUCGUGGUUGAUUGUUUCGAAUGGGAGAAUCCACGGAAGACGCUGACCUCAUUGAACACACAACGUGAUACUCAUCGUACCAAUAGAAUCCCUUGGGGUGAUUUCCUUCUAAUGGACACUUGUAGUAAUAUCGACCUGGAAAAUUUGCUCCAGGACCAGCACACUUUAGAUUCAUUGCUCCGUGACCGCAGCUACAAAACGGGGUGGUAUUUGAAACAUCGGACAUGGCCUCCAUUCUGAGAAUAAACCACAACAAGGUAAGAAAUAUAUAUCAAUUUCACAGAAAAAACACAACAGCAACAGCAGCAUUUGAAGUGAAUUUAAUGGCAGAAUUUGCACAAUAAACAUAAUCAAUUAUACACAAAAAUCAACACAUAUAGACAAAAAUUUUACUUAACUAUGAACUCGUUUGUAGGCAGACAUUAUUUAGGCAUAAUUAAUAUACUGCUGCCACAUUCCUUCCGCCAAAGUGUCUCUAGCUGCAUUCCAUUGGGGAGAAGAUUCAACAUUUUCAACAAAGUUAUGAGAUUCUACAUCCACAUCACCAUCUUCAACCAUCGCAUUGUAUUGUUCUUCAAUUGGGUCAACAACCAUUUGUUUGCGGAUGAAGUUGUUAAUUAAAAACGUUGCCAUUAUUAGCCUAUUUUGAACCUUUAUCGGAUAAAAUGUUGUAGAUCUUAGUAUCCCCCAUCUCAUCUUCAUUAUCCCGAAAGCCCUCUCAACCACAUUACGUGCCUUAGCAUGUCUUAGGUUAAAAAGUUCCUCCUUGUUUUGAGGUCGGGCAGAAUUAGGACCCCACUCUUUAAGGUGGUAUCGAACACCUUUAAAAGGUGUUAAAAAACCCUCACUAUUUGCGUAACCAUUGUCACACAAAUAGUAUUUUCCUGCCGAGGUCACAACAAACAAACAAGAAUAGUUAUAUUCCAGCAAUUAUUAUCAAACACCAAUGACAGCUAGAAUCAAUAAUAAAGUACGCGAGUUAUUGGCUAUACCCUUGGGAACUUUUAAUCCGUGUGGUCUGUUCAAUGCGUCCCGCAGUAUUCUAGAAUCAUUGGCCGAGCCUUCCCACCCGGAAAGAACAUAAACAAAGUUCAAGUUCCGAUCACAAACGCCUAAGACGUUCGUAGAGAUCUGCCCCUUCCUUGUCCUAUAUCGAGGUUUAUCAAUAUUGCUAACUGUUACGUUGAUGUAGGUGCCGUCUAAUGCUCCUAGACACCCCUAUUCAUGAAAUACAGUUACAACAAAGUUAUAUUAUUAUUUAUUAACACUUCAACAUAAUUUAACAUGACAUGACUAUAGUUGGAUUUAGUUACCUUGAACCAUUGCCAUCUCGUGUCCGUGCAUUCAUCUGUGACAGCCUCGGGCUUAACCAGGAACACAUCAUGUAAGCUAAUAAUUGCUCCUAAUACCGCGUGGAUAUAAUGCGAUACCGUUUGCCCAGACCUCCAAAAAUUAAAUUUAACUACCCUAUUUUUUUUGUGAUGGGCCAACACAGACAAAAAUAUGGCAACCUGUUCCUCUACUUUAACAUAAUUCCCAUCAACUAAACCCCCUCUUUCCCGCAAGAUUCGACAAAGUCUCCCAAAGGUACUACGGUCCAUACGUAAGUUAGCAAUACAAUCAAUAUCCGUAGCAUCUAUCAUUCGACCUAGAUGUUUUAUUUGGUCAGGCAUCCUACAAAUCAUGCUAUAUUUAGGUACUGCUGUCUGACGUUUUCUCUUCCUUGAAUAAGUCUUAGCUAUAUAUGCAAUGACAAUAGCAAUUUGUAUAAUAUGAUCACGCAAAAUUUCUUGUAGUACCAAGAAUAAUAUGUCUUUAUCACGAGGACAUACUCUUCCAGCCAUCUAAAACAGAAAGUAGGGAUGUAUAAGUCAAAACUGAAUUUUUCAACAUAUACUUAUGCCUAUUGUAUCUACUGUUCCAUUAAUUAGGCAAGUACAAAUUUUAUUUUGCAACCUCACAAAUAUGUAAAGCAGCAACAUGCCAUACAAUAACAACAAAUAUGCCAACUAAGUAAUGGUAAAUCUAGCAAAUUUUCUGAUACAGUACAACAACAGCAACUGUAACACAAUCUCCAUCACAUUAAAAAAAUUUAAGAUCAAUCAGUUUAUCAAUAAGAUCAAGGACCUAAGAACAAACUUUUAGUUGCCUUCAAUUGUUGCAGUAUAAUGCUCACCCAAGCUUACUGUCUUUGCCUAGCUGGAAUGUACUCCACAGCGACGUCGUCUACGAAACAGAAAACGGAGGAGGUUAACCCAAUAUCUGGACCAAAAAUCAAACCAAUAUCUAGUUGCACAAAUGCCCAAUAUCUAGAUGCACAAAUGCCCAAUAUUUGGCCCUAAUUUCAGAAUCUCGCGCGAAAGUCGAAACAGAUGGAGCUGCUAAUUUUUUUUGAAAUCAAAGCAGUAAAAUAAACUCCCAAUUUGCGAAUCGAAACAUGUAAAUAUGGGGGAACCCUAUCUCUCAAAUCCAAAAGGAAAUCACAAAAAAUAGGAAAGAAAGAAUAUGAAUCGGUGAAUCCAAACCCAUUUUUAAAGUUUGGGUUCUUACCGUUCUGCGUCAAUUCUUCGAUCUGCUUUUCGAUUGUCGCGAGCUCUGCAGAAUAGCAAAGAUGAAGAAAUACGCGCGGCUGAUUUUUUGACCUAGAAACGAGUUUUGAAUAAAAAAUUUGAAGGGUAAUUAAGGCAACGUAAAUGUUUUCCUGAAGUCUGGAAGUGGUAUCGGAGGGGGGAGUCGCGAGACGUUUUAAGGGGUGAACAUCACUUUUUCACCGGGCCAUGCCUUUUUUGCGGGCUACUCGGAAAAAGUUUAAUUGGCACCAAACAAUUGUAAAGUGCCGGAUACCUUUGCUAAUCUGCACUAUGAGGUGGCACCAAACACGCCCUUAGCGUCCUAUAUACUAUAUGUUCUUCGCUUUUCCUAUACUCUUCUGUUGCAGUGUGCUAGACAAGGGUUUGCACUUGGUCUUACAAUGUUAGUUGGCAUGAUUCAUAGCAUUAAAUUAGAGUCCUUGUUAAAGCUAAUUACAACUUUGCUGGAGGUCUCUUCUUCCAUGAAGGGGGUCAGGUGAGUAUUGGUCCCUUCUCAUGAAGUCAAUAAUUGAGAUUUAUAUUUUAUUUAUGUGGAGCCUUUUAUUUAUAGGAGGUAAAAUAAUGCUUACUGGGCCGUUUAUUUGCAUAUGGAGCUCUUGCAAGAUCGGGAAUGUACUGAAGAAUGGAUCUCAGAUAAUAGUAGUGCACUCAUCAAAGAAUUUAACAAAUGUCUUAUUGAUCUUGCAGCUAAGAAACAGUACUUACAAGAGCCUGCUGUUGCUGUUUUAUUGGAGAUAGUGGGAAAGGUAAUCCGUCGUAUUACUUACAGCACACAGUUAAUGUUAUCAAGAUGAACUACAUGAUUUGAGCUGUUUGAUCGUCUGCGUAAAAUUGGUGUGAUUGGGAGUUGCUUAUCCCGGAAAAAACCGGUAUCAAACCAAUUGGCUUUGCUUGUUAGAAAAUGAAUGGAUUAUUCAUCUUGUCGAAGGUGUUCAAUGAGUUGCAUCUUUUGGAUCUGAAGAGAAGGGCACCCUUUAGUUGACUUGGUUUUAUGUGACUUUGAUUUUCUGGUGGUUUGUUAAUGAUUCACAGCUGAAAUAGCUUAAUAAUUUUUUUUCUGUGACAGAUAAGCUCAAUUGCAACACAAGAGUAGCUCUAUACAAAUCAUGUUUUUCCGCAAGAGCAAUUCCUCUCAUGAUGGUGAGAGUGUCGAGCAGCAGCAUGAGCGCAAGGUAAUAAUAAUAAGUUGUUGCCUUUUCAAAUUCAAAUAAUGCUUGUGAAUCUAGUGAAUAUAAUUUUCUGUUGAAGUAAGUAAAGGUAGCUUUGGUUAUUAUAUGCAGUUUGAAGUCUCCUGCUAGCUAGCUCUAUUUCUUUUAUUUUUUUUAAUCAUUUGUUAUUUUGUAAUUUGAGAACAUAGUAGCAGUGAAUAUGCGGUAUAUUUUACACCAUAAUUGAGUAUGAAAACCCAUCGCAAAAUGGAUUGCUCAUUCCUGCUUAUGCACUGAUGAAAUGCUUGAAGAUUAUCUGACUGAUUUUUCUUUUAUUUUAUCAUCAUCCUGUGGAGUGGAAUAUUUUUAGCAUACAGUUAACUUGAUAUGCAUUGGAUAUGCAUUCUGGUGAUCAUGAGGAUUAAGCCAAAGACUUUCAGGUUUCUUUUUUUUUUUUUUUUUUUCCCUUUUUUAAGUUAUCCUUAAGAUUUAUUCUUCUGUAAUUACUCUAUUAGUCUAUUAGAUCAUGCUGGGACAUAACUCGCAUAUUCUUCACAAAUUUACAUGUAACCAGUUUAUGUAUUAGUUAUAAGCUUUCCUGUGUAUCAUAUCUCCGUAUGAUUGUUCAAUUAUUGGUUUCCUACCUUGACUAGAUAUUGCCCUAUAUUUUUGUCAUGGUUUAGUUGCCUGAAGGUACUACUCGUAUUUGUUCUCUUAUUAUUUUUUUUUUUAUCACUGAUUAAGUGAUAUUAUUUCAAGUCUUUGCUGAUCUGCAUGUCUUGAAUAUUGCAGGAGUCUACCUUCUGUCAGCCACGAGUACAUAGUGUAUGACCUGUUUUGGUUAGCCAUGCAAGAUGUUGAUUCAGCAUCAAGUCUAAUUUCGAGCAAGAAGCACAAAAGAAGCCGUAAGAGUACCCAUUCAAGUCAAAGUAUCACGAGGUAGCUCAGCUUUACAAGG
This 7540-nucleotide long non-coding RNA is filed under the name Salvia miltiorrhiza (redroot sage). RNAcentral describes it as "long non-coding RNA (SMIL_LNC006916)". Lineage: Eukaryota; Viridiplantae; Streptophyta; Magnoliopsida; Lamiales; Lamiaceae. The record is from RNAcentral.